GACGAACGCUGGCGGCGUGCUUAACACAUGCAAGUCGAACGGAAAGGCCUGCUUUCCCUUGUGGAUUGCGGGUGCUCGAGUGGCGAACGGGUGAGUAACACGUGAGCGAUCUGCCCCCAACUUGGGUAUAAGCCUGGGAAACUGGGUCUAAUUCCCGAUAGUACUGCAGGGUGGUGCCUGUGGUGGAAAACGAUUUUAUUGUGGUUGGGGAUGAGCUCGCGGCCUAUCAGCUUGUUGGUGGGGUAAUGGCCUACCAAGGCGGCGACGGGUAGCCGGCCUGAGAGGGUGGACGGCCACAUUGGGACUGGGAUACGGCCCAGACUCCUACGGGAGGCAGCAGUGGGGAAUAAUGCACAAUGGGCGGAAGCCUGAUGCAGCGACGCCGCGUGGGGGAUGACGGCCUUCGGGUUGUAAACUCCUUUCGACCGCGAGGAAGCCACCUGGUUGGAAGGGUGGUGACGGUAGUGGUAGAAGAAGCACCGGCUAACUACGUG
This 494-nucleotide ribosomal RNA is filed under the name uncultured bacterium. RNAcentral's name for it is "partial 16S ribosomal RNA". It matches the Rfam family "Bacterial small subunit ribosomal RNA", at positions 28 to 507 of the family's 1533-position model. The record is from RNAcentral.